Molecule: non-coding RNA, 363 nt
Organism: Pelobates cultripes (western spadefoot toad)
Lineage: Eukaryota; Metazoa; Chordata; Amphibia; Anura; Pelobatidae
Source: the annotation of a GenBank genome assembly
GUGAUGCCUCAAGUAAUUGUAAAAUAUCAAGAGGCAUCAAAGGGGGGAAUGUGGUGGAAUCUCGGUAAAAAUAAAUUUAGUGGGCCGAGAUUACCACGUGGCACGUGCACGUGCAUAUGCUGACGUAUCGAUCAGUUGGUUGCACGAGGCAAGAUACGAUCAGUAGUGUACGGAGCAUGUGCAAGAAUACAGGAUGUAGUAUUCCCCUCCUCCAUUGUGCUGGACAAGCCAUGCGGUCAAGCAGGAAGUUAAUUCUUAUUUGUAAUGAUUGGUCAAGAGAAUGUGCGGGUGGAGCUUAAUGUGGGAGGAGUUAUGUGCCUAUAUAGGGAGCCUGCACUAUUGUUCAGGGCUCAGAACUUGCUG